Molecule: transfer RNA, 72 nt
Organism: Camelus ferus (Wild Bactrian camel)
Lineage: Eukaryota; Metazoa; Chordata; Mammalia; Artiodactyla; Camelidae
Rfam family: tRNA
About the family: Transfer RNA (tRNA) molecules are approximately 80 nucleotides in length. Their secondary structure includes four short double-helical elements and three loops (D, anti-codon, and T loops).
Source: Rfam
AAGGGUAUAGCUCAGUGGUAGAGUUCGUGCUUAGCACGCACAGGGUCCUGAGUUCAAUCCCCAGUACCUCCA